Molecule: long non-coding RNA, 544 nt
Organism: Hibiscus syriacus
Lineage: Eukaryota; Viridiplantae; Streptophyta; Magnoliopsida; Malvales; Malvaceae
Exons: 4
Source: RefSeq, a predicted model, not a curated record
UCUCUCUAUAAGUUAAAAUAAUAGAACAAACACGUAAAAAGCUGGAAAAAAAUCAUUGAAGCAUUAGGGACACAAGCCAUACAUUAUAAAGUAUUACAGAAUUAUAAAGUUGUCUACAAGUAGACGAGAUAAACAAAUCACUCGGUCAAUGUAUGAACUUUAUACUUUGUAAAACAGGAAAAAGGUUUAUGAAAGAAGAAGAAGGAGAAACACAUUACUUUUUACGUGGAAAAGGUAUGGGAGAUGUUUGUUCCGCUCGGUAAUUCACGGCGCUUGGCUGAGGUCAGGGAAGCAGUCUCCGACCGAGUGCCGCCAGAAAGAUCUUGCUGAUGAACUCAGAGCUAAAGUUGUUGAUGAAUUCAUCAAGAGGCGAGCCGACACCGAAUGGUUCCUCGAGGGUGAUUUCGACAACUAUGUCAUGCAGAUGCGGCAGCCUCAUAUCUGGGGAGGAGAACCCGAACUGCUCAUGUGCUCACAUGUCCUACACUGAUUUUUCCUUGCUCAAAUGAAACCUUUUUGCUAUCAAUAUAUCAAAAUUUUCUCA